This 250-nucleotide ribosomal RNA is filed under the name uncultured Chroococcidiopsis sp. Its description in RNAcentral is "partial 16S ribosomal RNA". It matches the Rfam family "Bacterial small subunit ribosomal RNA", at positions 796 to 1044 of the family's 1533-position model. The record is from RNAcentral. Lineage: Bacteria; Bacillati; Cyanobacteriota; Cyanophyceae; Chroococcidiopsidales; Chroococcidiopsidaceae.
CUAGCUGUAAACGAUGGAUACUAGGCGUUGAGAGUAUCGACCCUCUCAGUGUCGUAGCUAACGCGUUAAGUAUCCCGCCUGGGGAGUACGCGCGCAAGCGUGAAACUCAAAGGAAUUGACGGGGGCCCGCACAAGCGGUGGAGUAUGUGGUUUAAUUCGAUGCAACGCGAAGAACCUUACCAGGGCUUGACAUGUCCGGAACCCUGCCCAAAGGCGGGGGUGCCUACGGGAACCGGAACACAGGCGGUGC